RNAcentral lists this ribosomal RNA (463 nucleotides) under uncultured prokaryote. RNAcentral describes it as "bacterial SSU rRNA". It matches the Rfam family "Bacterial small subunit ribosomal RNA", at positions 66 to 563 of the family's 1533-position model. The record is from RNAcentral.
GCGGUAGAAUUGAAUAGCUUGCUAUUUAAUUUGAGAGCGGCGAACGGGUGAGUAACAUGUUGAUAUCUGCCCCCAAGUCAGGGAUAGCCAUUGGAAACGAUGAUUAAUACCGGAUAGUCUCUACGGAGUAAAAAUUUAUUGCUUGGGGAGGAGUCUACAUUCUAUCAGUUAGUUGGUGAGGUAAAAGCUCACCAAGACUAUGACGGAUAGCUGGUCUGAGAGGAUGAUCAGCCACAAUGAAACUGAGACACGGUUCAUACUCCUACGGGAGGCAGCAGUGAGGAAUCUUCCACAAUGGACGAAAGUCUGAUGGAGCGACACCGCGUGAAGGAUGAAGGCCUAACGGUUGUAAACUUCUUUUCUGAAGGAGCAUAAUGAGAGUACUUCAGGAAUAAGGGACGGCUAAUUACGUGCCAGCAGCCGCGGUAUCGUAAGUCCCAGUGUACCCGAAUCUUGGGUGUAA